Ictalurus punctatus (channel catfish) is the source of this 1161-nucleotide long non-coding RNA. RefSeq lists it as uncharacterized. The transcript has 3 exons. NCBI's taxonomy places the organism in Eukaryota, Metazoa, Chordata, Actinopteri, Siluriformes, Ictaluridae. The record is from RefSeq and is a predicted model, not a curated record.
AUAAACUUCAUUUUAUAAAGCGCCUUUAAAGCAGCUUCUCAAAGCGCUGUACAUAAAAUCACAGUCCACAGAAAAAUAAAACAAAUAAAGGUUAAUAAGAAUAAAAAUAACAACAUUAAUACUAAUAAAAAUAAUUAUUAAACAAUUGAAAAAGACAUCAGCAGUCGAAUGCAAGUUUAAAAAAGUGUGUCUUGAGAAGAGCUUUAAAAAUGCCAAAAGUCUGGGCUUCCCUGAGUUCAGGAGGAAGAGAGUUCCAAAGUGAAGGAGCAUAGAGAGAACCAUCUCGUUCCAGAUGUUAAAACAGCACCUAAAGGGAAUCCUGAUGCAGGAGAUGUAGAAAAUCAUGAUUACAACGAGGAGCGGAUGUGUUGUUAUCUCUAGCAUCCCUGCUGGUGCCUCUGCAAAUUACACCUGCAACAUGAGGGGUCGUCAUGUGAACAUCAUCAUUCCCAAUGUUAUCCAGGCUCUCACGCUCUGUGAAGUGGAAGUCUAUGGGGUUCCAGGCUACACUUUUAUAUCCAGUUCACAAUUUCAUAUACAUUUGAAGUCAAAUUAAGUUUUACAACAGCUACUAAAUAUCAACAUUGCUAAUUUUUUUUAGUGCCUGUUACUAAGAGGGCAUUUCUGAGAUUGAAGUUUAACAUCAGUGAGUAUCUUAUGAACCCUACUGUGAGGGACAAAAUUAUUCAAAAGGUUUGUGUUCAUGACAUGUAUGGUAGAUUCAUAAAUAAAUAAAUAAAUAAUACUAAUUUUUCAUCAUAGACGAUAUCUACCAAUGCCCAGCCUUCAGUGCGUCAGAUCUGUUGGACUACAGAACCAGAGGUGGAAAAUGAAACUUAAAAAACGGUGGCAGAAAUAUAUCUGAAACAACAAGAAGAAGAAGCGGAAGAAGAAGAAGAAGAAGUGUUCAAAGAACAAAAAGAAAGAAAAAACAUCAAAUGUGUGAGGUUUGGGUUUAGCACUUGAAAAUGCUAGCUAACUGAUGUUAUAGGUUUAUUAAUUAGAAGUACUAGAAGUUUUUUAGUUUGUUUGUUUGGGAAAUGUAUCCAUGAAAAAUUAUUACCACAGGGUUUGUACAAGGUGCUUGAAUUUGGCAUUUGGAAAUUUAAGUACUGGAAAACCUUGAAAAUAGCCAAUAUUUUUUUUAAUGUUAAAAAAGUG